Myotis lucifugus (little brown bat) is the source of this 1227-nucleotide long non-coding RNA. RefSeq lists it as uncharacterized. Lineage: Eukaryota; Metazoa; Chordata; Mammalia; Chiroptera; Vespertilionidae. The transcript is spliced from 2 exons. The record is from RefSeq and is a predicted model, not a curated record.
GAGAGGGUGCCGGCGGCUUGUCGGGGCGCGCCGGGGCGGCCGCGAUGGAGCGCGUGGAGCUUCAGACUCCUGGCAGCUCCGCGCACUCCGCUUCCAGAGGCUUGUUUGUCUCGUGCUCAUGUGGAAAGCCAGCCAGAAUGGUCAAGAGGUCCUUUCUCCUUCCUUCAACCUGAGAACUUGGCAAUGAUCAAAAGGAGGUGAUUAGUAGCUACAGAGAAAAGACACCAGCAGGCAAGGAGUUAACAGAGACGCUGAGCCCUCCACCUCCACCUCCGGAGUGGGAUGGGGGGUGUGUGUGUGAGAGCUGCACAAAGGCCCAAGUCCUAGAAGCCAACUCUGAAGAACAAAGUAGAGGAUCCAUUAAAAGUUAAUUCAGUAAAUAAACUUAAUUGGUGAUAAAACAAACAAGAAAGAUGGAAAGGCCAACUUAAAAUAGCCGAAGGAUAAUAAAAAUAAAUAGUUUUGAUGUGGCCUAAACAUAUGUGUGUGCGCCUUUGGGCCAGGCGGGUCCCUACAGUGCCCUGCCGGACACAGGCCUCUGGGGAGCACCCCUCCCCCGGAAAAGCCCCCGUGCGGAUAGGCAAUAUUUUGGGGGCAUUUGUUGGGUGUUUUUUAGGCAACUUCACACAUCAAAGGUGAGCACCGUGUUCUUUUCAGCUCUCUGGUUCCAGCCGCCCAGUGAAGCAGAUACAAUUUCUAUAAAUUGGCCUUCUCCUCUGGGUUUUGAUUGAUCAUCACCGUAUGAGAUUAUUGAAAGUCUAAUGUCUUAUUUCACUUUCUCCGAGGGGUGAGGAGGGGGAACAGUUGAUUGGAAGUCAGGCCACGUGAAGGCUCCGGUGCUGUGCAAUAGUAAUUUCCAUUAGCCUGGGGAAAGCGGCCUCCGGAAACUCCCAGGCAUCUCCUGCUGGUGCUGGCCCACCCUCCCCCGCCCCUCCCCCGCCCGCCGCAGCUUCAGGCCUUGUUAACAGGUACAGGACAAACCGGAGCCUUUGUAGUUGGAGGGAGAAAAUGGCUGUUGACGAAAAAUAAGGCAACAAAAGAUUCCUUUUCUCACGUAUUUAUUGGAACUUCAGAAUGCCCUCUUGAGGGUCGUUUCCCACUCCAAACUUUUCCGUCUCCCUUUUGCCUCCAUACCGUCUUUCAUUUUAUUAAAGUUGAUUAUGGUUUCUCUGUCUUGUCCCCAGCCAGACAAAGGCUUAGGGAAAGUCAAAGAACGUGUUAAUUAUA